Molecule: ribosomal RNA, 433 nt
Filed under: uncultured bacterium
Lineage: Bacteria
Description: partial 16S ribosomal RNA
Rfam family: Bacterial small subunit ribosomal RNA
Source: RNAcentral
AACGAACGCUGGCGGCAUGCCUAACACAUGCAAGUCGAACGAGACCUUCGGGUCUAGUGGCGCACGGGUGCGUAACGCGUGGGAACCUGCCCUUAGGUUCGGAAUAACUCCCCGAAAGGGGUGCUAAUACCGGAUAAUGUCUUCGGACCAAAGAUUUAUCGCCUUUGGAUGGGCCCGCGUUGGAUUAGCUAGUUGGUAGGGUAAAAGCCUACCAAGGCGACGAUCCAUAGCUGGUCUGAGAGGAUGAUCAGCCACACUGGGACUGAGACACGGCCCAGACUCCUACGGGAGGCAGCAGUGGGGAAUAUUGGACAAUGGGCGAAAGCCUGAUCCAGCAAUGCCGCGUGAGUGAUGAAGGCCUUAGGGUUGUAAAGCUCUUUUAGCCGGGAUGAUAAUGACAGUACCGGGAGAAUAAGCACCGGCUAACUCCGUG